This is a long non-coding RNA of Hippocampus zosterae (dwarf seahorse), 592 nucleotides long. RefSeq lists it as uncharacterized. Lineage: Eukaryota; Metazoa; Chordata; Actinopteri; Syngnathiformes; Syngnathidae. The transcript has 3 exons. The record is from RefSeq and is a predicted model, not a curated record.
AGCACCAAAAAGGCAUUCUCAGGAUUCGAACAUGUGCACUUGCUUGGUGUGAAAGGAGGGAAGCAGCGACAGCGCACUGAUCCCCUUUAUGCCCAUAUUAGGUAGUGCUGACGUAGCAGCCGACCAGGAAGUAAACACAGAGACUUGACUCAAUAUAUCUUUCAUUGUUGCAUAAGAAAGCCAUGGCUCUGCUCAUUUUAAAAACAAGAGGAGGAAAUGAGCAGCAGAAAAACAAGGAACCGCUGCAUCCUUUAAGAAUGGCUUUCAGAGUUUAAUCAUGUUUGAUGUGGAGUGGAGACGAGAGAGCCAAGUCUGUGUUCGGGCGGUGUCACCUUCCAUCUUUCCGUACACUGACCUUCUGAGAGGCCUUUGAGGAGCAACGAGCAACCAUAGAAGGGAAGGUCAAUUCUCUCAUCAUUCUGCCAACUGCCGCUUUUCAAUCAAACACCAAGGCUCAUCUGUCUGCUUCUUCUAAAUGGUGCUCAACAAAACAAUAAAAUAGUUACCAAAUGCUGUUGGAAAAAAACUGUGAAAUUCAUUUCACAGACUAUGAAUGCGUGUUAUAUUCUAUUUUUCGGAUCAACAUGGUUGG